CAUGAUAUUACUAGUGUAUGUUUGAAAACCCACGAUAGCAUUCUUUUUUUUAAAUUUGUCUUCUGUUUGAUAUAAACAUGACAAAGAAAAGUCUAAUGUAUGGGGAAAACACUUAACUGAGUACUAUGAUAUAUUCUUUUAAAUCUUAAUCAACAAUGAGUGUUUGUGGAUUCUGUCAGCGGCAAAAGUUUCCCUAUGAUCAACCCGGCCUCGGGGACAAAGAGAUAUGUGACGUGUCUGAAGGCGACAGGUUCACUGGGCCUUAAACCCGCCAGUCCGUGCAGUAUCAGUUUGGACGCGGCAGUCCAGAGGGAAGGACGUACUUAUACUUCUCUCGUGCAUACCAUCCAGUUACUAUGCAUGUUCUUAAUAUAAAUAGCUGUGUGCUUACUCUGGAGUGAACCUGGUACUGGCUUUUUCUGAGGUCCCUUGUUCCAUCUAUUGUGUAAACCACUUUCAUCGAUGGUGGCCGAAUAUUGGUGACGUCUGGUGUAGACUAAGUGGCCAGUAGAGAACAUUGCCCAUUGGAGGACCUUACCAGUCCAUUCUUGUCCAGACCAAGUGGUAAUAGACAACAGUGGAGGACUUUACUAGUUCCCAUACUAGGACAAUUACUUUCAAUAUGUAUCAAUUCAAACUAUAUUAAAUAUGUA
Magallana angulata is the source of this 653-nucleotide long non-coding RNA. RefSeq lists it as uncharacterized. Lineage: Eukaryota; Metazoa; Mollusca; Bivalvia; Ostreida; Ostreidae. The transcript has 3 exons. The record is from RefSeq and is a predicted model, not a curated record.